GCGCCAUCCCCGCGGAUGCACGACUCCUCGUGGCUCCCUGUGGCCACGAAAGCCACCAAAAGAGGGGGAGCAGGUGCCAAACUCCACACCGCGGGCUGCCAGGCUCCUUACUAUGCCAGGGUUAAAGGCAAAUCCGGCAGUGAAAGCCCCCCCCCAGCUCCGUGCGCCAGGAGAGCCGAGCCCCUCCGCUACAGCAGGACUCAUCCUGCCCAGCUGGGGUGCUGCGCCCACCCGCAGAGGGAGAAGCAGCCGUCAAUCCGGGAAGGGCAGCGACCGUUGCUGUAGGAAAUGUCCACACAGCCAGCCCCUGCUGACCUGCCACUUGACCUGCAAUACUGAUGGGGAUAAGAAGAGGUUGAGUAACUGUCCC
Long non-coding RNA from Falco peregrinus (peregrine falcon), 370 nucleotides. RefSeq lists it as uncharacterized. The transcript has 3 exons. The record is from RefSeq and is a predicted model, not a curated record. NCBI's taxonomy places the organism in Eukaryota, Metazoa, Chordata, Aves, Falconiformes, Falconidae.